CUGAGAGGAUGACCAGCCACACUGGAACUGAGACACGGUCCAGACUCCUACGGGAGGCAGCAGUGGGGAAUAUUGCACAAUGGGCGCAAGCCUGAUGCAGCCAUGCCGCGUGUAUGAAGAAGGCCUUCGGGUUGUAAAGUACUUUCAGCGGGGAGGAAGGGAGUAAAGUUAAUACCUUUGCUCAUUGACGUUACCCGCAGAAGAAGCACCGGCUAACUCCGUGCCAGCAGCCGCGGUAAUACGGAGGGUGCAAGCGUUAAUCGGAAUUACUGGGCGUAAAGCGCACGCAGGCGGUUUGUUAAGUCAGAUGUGAAAUCCCCGGGCUCAACCUGGGAACUGCAUCUGAUACUGGCAAGCUUGAGUCUCGUAGAGGGGGGUAGAAUUCCAGGUGUAGCGGUGAAAUGCGUAGAGAUCUGGAGGAAUACCGGUGGCGAAGGCGGCCCCCUGGACGAAGACUGACGCUCAGGUGCGAAAGCG
RNAcentral lists this ribosomal RNA (477 nucleotides) under Shigella sonnei. RNAcentral describes it as "bacterial SSU rRNA". It matches the Rfam family "Bacterial small subunit ribosomal RNA", at positions 292 to 761 of the family's 1533-position model. The record is from RNAcentral. Lineage: Bacteria; Pseudomonadati; Pseudomonadota; Gammaproteobacteria; Enterobacterales; Enterobacteriaceae.